UAAGGAAGUAACAAUAUGGAGGAAGGCGGGGGCGGAAACUGGAAGAAAUUGGGGCUGGUGGGUGCCCCUCGAGAGAAGCUGGCAAGGCAGAGCGUGAGGACACCGAAGCACCGGGGAGAGCGAGGGUGGAACAAGACAGGCCAAGCGAGGACGAGGGAAAAGAAUAUGAGAAAGACAAGCGAGUGCGAGCUAGGAAAACCAGCGGCUCCCACCCCACGCCCGCUCCACAGCGGAACAUUCCUCCCGCAGAGGACAGGAAGCAACCAAGGAAAAGGGAAAGUCUCGCCAUACGAUUACCCAGCGAACCUCUCCUGCACCAGCCAGAAGGUACCGAGCCACCAAGAACCACGGAUAGGUGAUAGAGAAAAUGGCGGCAGCCCCAACUGGGCACGAGGGAGAACCCUAAAACUCACGUCCUACUCCACACGCAGCUCUUCUACACCACGACAGAAACAGAAGUGACGUAUCACGGAAUCCCCGCCCUGCACCACGUGGAAAGGGCGGGGGGAGGUGUUUAAAGGGGACGCGUCCAUUUGUUACUCGUUCCCACCUCCCCCGCCCCAGCUGGGGCGCGGGGGGGGAGAAGGGAAAAAAAACAAACAAACAAAAAAAACCACCAAAAAGUCUCCCAUGGGGCUAGUCUCUGUAUUCGCCGCUUCAUGCCAACCGAGGGAGGCUUGUGGGGCUGACGGCAGGGCCCUGCCUGCUCCUACAGCCUAGCCUGGAGCCAGGCCCAGUCAGGGCUGCAGUGCUGCUGAGGGGAGACACCACCAAGGCCGGGCCUUCACCAGCUGUCUGCCCUCUGCUGAAGGACUGUGAGAGGGGGCCAGGAGGAGGGCCCUUAAUACCUAGAAGGAACCCUUAAAAAAACAAAACAAAACACAAAAAAACCAAAAUCAAAACCCUCUGUAAAUCUGUGUCGUCUUCCACACACUGCAGCGGUUCCUCGAUCUCGUUUGAAGCCACCCUGCCGGCAGCUGUGCCCGAGGAAAAAAAGAAGUGCUGUGAGGUGAUGUAGCUGCGUUAACUUUGCAUAUUGAAAUUGCGGCACCAGAAGCGCUGUUCAGGAAAGUGGUGGUUCCCCUUUCUUUCACUGGGUGGCUUGCAUUUUGUUUUCUUCCUGAUUGGCUUUGCUGUUGGGGGAGCGGGUGAGCCUUAUGGCUCUCAUCUUGGCAGUCACCUGGGGUCAAGUGCAGGUCUGAAGCACUGGGGACAGAAGGUUAAAAAAAAAAAUCACAGCUUCUGUUCUAAGCACUUACUUUUUAAAAGCCCUCCAAGCAAAAACCCCUCGAAAAAAUAAUCUCACAAUUCUGCCUGUUUCUGUAGCAUGUUUACACUAGAACACCGCAUCAUAAGUGCCCUGUUGAUGCUGUUUCCUGUGUCAGGAUUUGAAGAAGGGCAGUAAAUUUAGUUCAUCUAAACAAGUAUGCAACAGCUUCUGAGAUAAACCAAAAUGACACCUCUUUGGAGGGGAGGUGGGGAAAGGGUCCCCUGCCCCCAUCUUUGUGAAAGAAGAUGACUAUUAGCAGCCUUUAUAAACUGCAAUAGGUCAAGCAUGCUGUUGGAGCAUGAGUGGUUUUAUGUUCUGUCUUCCCAUGUUACAUAUUUGAGCCUGUACUUUCAGUUUAUGAUGAGAUUUAUUAAUAUUAAAAUAUUAUCGUAGUCAAUACAACUUAAUAUAAGUUAAUACUGACCCACUGUUGGUUAUGCAGGUGGGCAGUGAUGAGGUUGCAGAGAGAAGCCCAAGAGCAAUCAAAAGGUACUUCAGGGCACUGGGGUGACUAGUUGAAGGACCGGGAGCGCAGGUAGUGUUUACCUCAAUCCCAUCAAUGGCAGGGAAGAAUAAUACUGAAAGGAACAGGAAAACUCAUCUGAUUAACACGUGGCUCAGAGGCUGGUGCCAUCGGUGGAAUUUUGGGUUUUUUUGAUCAUGGGGAGGUUUACAUGGCACCGGGCCUGCUGGCGGCAGAUGGAGUUCACCUAUCUCAAAGGGGGAAAAGGAUUCUUGCACAUGAGUUGGUGGGGCUCAUUGAGAGGGCUUUAACCUAGGUUCAAAGGGGGAAGGGGAUAUAGCCAGGUCCACUAGAGAGGAGCCUAGGGGUGGCAUGCCAGGGUUGGGGGUGAAACCAAUAGCCCAGCUCAAGUGCAUCUAUGCCAACACACGCAGCAUGGGCAACAAACAGGAGGAGCUGGAAGCCAUUGUACAGAGGGAUAGCUAUGACUUAGUCACCAUCACAGAGACACGGUGGGAUGACUCUUACGACUGCUGGGAGAUGUGGCGGUCAGAGGCGGUCUUGGGCUUAGCGACCAGGAUAUGAUUGAGUUCUCAGUCCUUGGUGAAGUAAGAAGGGGGGUCAGCAGAACCACUACCAUGGACUUCUGGAGGGCAGACUUUGGCCUGUUCAAGGCACUGGUUCGGAGAGUCCCUUGGGAGGAAGUCCUGAAGGGCAAAAGAGUCCAGGAAGGCUGGGCACUCCUCUAGAAGGAACUCUUGAAGGUACAGGAGCAGGCUGUCCCCAAGUGCCACAAGACAAACCGGCGGGGAAGACAACCGGCCUGGCUGAACAGGGAGCUUUUGCUGGCACUCAGGGAAAAAAAGGAGAGUCUACCACUUUUGGAAGAAGGGGCAGGCAGCUCAAGAAGAGUACAGAGAUCUCGUUAGGUCUUCCAGAGAGAAAAUUAGGCAAAAGCCCAGCUAUCACAGAAUCACAGGUUGGAAGGGACCUCAGGGAUCAUCUAGUCCAACCUUUCUAGGAAGAGCACAGUCUAGACAAGAUGGCCCAGCACCCUGUCCAGCCAAAUCUUAAAAGUGUCCAAUGUGGCCGAGCCAACGACUUCCCUGGGGAGAUUAUUCCAAUGGUUGACUGUCCUCACUGUGAAAAAUUUUCCUCUCGUGUCCAAUCGGAAUCUCCCCAAGAGCUAGAACUCAACCUGGCCACUGUUGUAAGGGAUAACAAAAAAUGUUUUUACAAAUACAUUAACAACAAAAAGAGAACCAAAGAGAAUCUCCAUCCUCUAUUGGACGCAGAGGGGAACGUUGCUACUGAGGAUGAGGAAAAGGCUGAGGUACUAAAUGCCUUCUUUGCCUCAGUCUUUAAUAGUCAGACCAGUUAUCCCCAGGGUAUUCAGCCCCCUGAGCUGGUAGGGAGGGACAGGGAGCAGAAUAAACCCCGCAUAAUCCAGGAGGAAGCAGUUUAUGACCUGCUGCUCCACCUGGACACUCACAAGUCUAUGGGGCCGGAUGGCAUCCACUCGAGAGUAGUGAGGGAGCUGGCGGAGGAGCUUGCCAAGCCACUCUCCAUCAUUUAUCAGCAGUCUUGGUUAACAGGGGAGGUCCCAGACAAAUGGAGGCUUGCCAAUGUGAUGCCCAUCUACAAGAAGGGCCAGAAGGAGGAUCCGGGGAACUACAGGCCUUUCAGCCUGACCUCGGUACCAGGGAAGAUUAUGGAGUGAUACAUCUUGCGUGAGCUCACUAGGCAAGUGCAGGACAACCAGGUGAUCAGGCCCAGCCAGCAUGGGUUCACGAAAGGCAGGUCCUGCCUGACCAACCUGACCUCCUUCUAUGACCAGGUGACCCGCCUGGUGGAUGAGGGAAAGGCUGUGGAUGUUGUCUAUCUGGACUUUAGCAAAGCCUUUGACACUGUCUCCCACAUCAUCCUCCUAGAGAAGCUGACAGCUCAUGGCUUGGAGGGGUGUGCUCUUUGCUGUGUAAAAAACUGGCUGGAUGGCUGAGCCCAGAGAGUCGUGGUGAAUGGACCUAAAUCCAGCUGGUGGCCAGUCACAAGCGGUGUUCCCCAGGGCUCAGUUUUGGGGCCAGUCUUGUUUAAUAUCUUUAUCAACGAUCUGGACGAGGGGAUCAAGUGUACCCUCAGUAAGUUUGCAGAUGACACCAAGUUGGGUGGAAGUGUUGCUCUGCUCGAGAGUAGGAAGGCUCUGCAGAGGGACUUGGACAGGCUGGAUUGAUGGGCCGAGACCAAUUGUACGAGGUUUAACAAGGCCAAGUGCCAGGUCCUGCACUUGGGUCACAACAACCCUAUGCAAUGCUACAGGCUUGGGGAAGAGUGGCUGGAGAGCUGCCUGGCAGAGGCGGCCAACAGCAUCCUGGCUUGUAUCAGGAAUAGUGUGGUCAGCAGGACUAGGGAAGUGAUUGUGCCCCUGUACUCAGCACUGGUGAGGCCACACCUUGAAUACUGUGUUCAGUUUUGGGCCCCUCACUACAAGAAGGACAUUGAGUUGCUGGAGCGUGUCCAGAGAAGGGCAACGAAGCCGGUGAAGGGUCUGGAGAGCAGGUCUUAUGAGGAGAGGUUGAGGGAAGCGGGGUUGUUUAGUCUGGAGAAGAGGAGGCUGAGGGGAGACCUUAUCACUCUACAACUACCUGAAAGGAGGGUGUAGCGAGGUGGGUGCUGGUCUCCUCUCCCAAGUUAUUAGUAAUAGAAUGAGAGGAAACAGCUUCAAGCUGCAUCAGGGGAGGUUUAGAUUGGAUAUUAGGAAAAAUUUCUUCACUGAAAGCAUGGUCAGGCAUUGGAACAGGCUGCCCAGAGAGGUGGUGGAGUCACCAUCCCUGGAAGCAUUUAAAAGAUGCAUAGACGUGGCACUUCAGGGCAUGGUUUAGGAGACAUGGUAGCAUUGGGUUGAUGGUUGGACUUGAUGAUCCUAGAGGUGUUUUCCAUCUUUAAUGAUUCCAUGAUCUAUGAUUUCUAUGAUUCUAACUUCACACAAAACUAAAGCAGCCUAUCAUUGUUUGCUUGUCACUGCACCAAUAGGUCAUGUAGUUGUGCUAUAUGUGUGGCAGGAUGCAAGUGCUUCAGAUAUCCAUUAUCAGUUUAGUUUAGUCCUUUUCUUAUUACCUCUAGACCUGUGCUUCUGCUACCAUGACAAUGCAAGCUUUUUGUAAAAAGUGUAAACAAACAAUCAGAAAUAGGAAGCGGACUCUAGUCCCAGUCCUAGCCUCCAGAUAAAGCUAUUGUUGGUGCAGAUGGUAGUGGGUGAUUGGCCUCUGUAGUUCCAAGAACAAACACUUUAAAUGAAGUGUUUAAAAUCAAAAAUCUUGGGCUUUAUAAAUUCCAAAGAUUCCCUAUUUGUUAACAUGUGCCAGGAAGAUAAACAUGUCAGAAGUGGGGAUAAUCCUCAAAUGUCAGCAUGAGCAGUCCUAAGCAGUUUCUGAAAAAACACUUAUGAGAAAAUGUUUUUAGAAGGGAUCCAUGAGGUCUGCACAGUCCUCACUAUGCCUUGAGAUAAACUGGCUCUCGGUAUGAAUCUUUUUCACUUUAGUAGCAGGAAAACAGGAAGUUAAUACCAGAAAUUAAAAGUGUACUUUUUAAACUAAUUCUUGGAAAUUGGCUGUUUCAUAAUAUUAUUAUGUAUCUUGCAAAACAAAAAGAAAAUUAGACAAAUAUGCAGUUGUUACAUGCCUGGCCUUUGGAAAAUAAAACUAUGGUUGUUUACACAGAAUAAAAGCACAGUAAAUCAUAUGUAUGUAAAUAUAGUAAUUAUCACCACUGUGCAAAUAUCAAGCUUGUCAAACCACGUAAUUGUCGAAGAUGAACAGAUGAUCUUUUAAUACUUAAUGCUUAACUCAAGAAAAACCAAAAACCAACCAAACAAAAAACUCUAAACAAACCUAUUCCACAAAAGAUAGCCUCCACAUAUGAAAUAUUAAUUUGAAAAAACAUAGCUCUUUUCAAGGCUUUUACUAACUUUUCAUAUUAGAAUAGUAAUGGCAGUUCAGGUUUUUGUAAUCCCUGUCUGCUUUGCUUUCUUAUAGGUCAAUACCUUGUACACAAAGAAUGCUAAGGUUUUAGGAGCAUCACAUUCAAAUGAACAGUUCUUUAUAUUUUUUUAAUCAAGUCCUUCAGCCUUGAAAUAAAUCAAAACGACUAAAAGAAAGAGAUUUUUCUGCUGGAUCUUAAUGAGUUAACCUCUCCCACCUGCAGUGUUUCCUCCAAAAGCAAGCACCAAGUUUAUUUUUACAGCUGAACUCUCAAAUAACAGGUCAGUGAGGGAAGGGAAUAUUUGCUAACUGGGGAUUUCAUGUUAUGUUUUUCUGUAAUGAUGGGUUUUGUUAAAGAAUUACUCUGGUAGUUUAUUUUAGUGGCUGUUAAAGCUUUUUGGUAAAUUACCCUUGCUAUAUAUUAUUCUGUUUAAAAAGAAUAAAGAAGAUACUAAGAAAAGAUGCUGGCUUUAGAAAAGUGGGGAAGGAGUCUUAAUUUUCUAAGGUAAAUUUCUUCUGUUUCCUUCUGAGUGAGUAAUCUAUCCACCCAAGGGUUAUAGUACACUUUCUGAGCUAAUGGGUUUGUUCCCUCAUAACUUUCCUUCUGUAGCUGCCUUAAAAGGAGUUAAAUUAUUCUAGUUACAGCCUGAUUGCCUCAUUUCAUAUCACAUGUCUUUGGCUCAGAAGAAUGUUGAAGUAUUAGCUUUUUCUUCAAAGAGAAAUUGUAUCAUGUAGAUUUGAAAAGGAAUGCUGAAAAAUACAAGCUCAUGCUUCUGGUCACAUAGUAAUUAUUAAAUAUGGUUGACUCCUCUUGUUACAAAUAGUAGAGCUCAUAGGAAACAUUUUGAGGCAGGCAGAAUGAGGGACAGCUCUUUCAAAUAAAGUUUUAGUAUUCAGUGCUUACUAGUUUAAAAGGUGGGUGAAGAAACUGGCUGAGCAAGGGAAGGUUAGCCUUUAAUACAGACACUAGUUUUAUUAAAGACUCAGGGAAGAAAGUGUAAGGGAUAUUGCUAGGCAGUAUUUUUGCUUGUGUACAGUAACAAGUUCAUUUACCACGUGCAUACGAUGUGUAAUUUGAGUUUGCAUUAACACUUGCAUAAUUUUGUAUUAUGCUUGAGUGUUGGGACAUUAGCUUUCGGGUGUUUGGUUUUUUUUCUUUUUCUGUUGCAAUUUGGUAUUAUAAACACUGACAACUUCCAUGUUUUAUUUAAUAAAUUAUUUUAUUAACA
Phalacrocorax carbo (great cormorant) is the source of this 6939-nucleotide non-coding RNA. The record is from RefSeq and is a predicted model, not a curated record. NCBI's taxonomy places the organism in Eukaryota, Metazoa, Chordata, Aves, Suliformes, Phalacrocoracidae.